This is a non-coding RNA of Aphanizomenon flos-aquae, 283 nucleotides long. Lineage: Bacteria; Bacillati; Cyanobacteriota; Cyanophyceae; Nostocales; Aphanizomenonaceae. The record is from Rfam.
GGUGCAGGCGCAAGAGUAUUGAGAGGAGUCCUCCUUAGUACGAGAGGACCGGGAGGAACGCACCGCUGGUGUACCAGUUAUUGUACCAACAGUAAACGCUGGGUAGCCAAGUGCGGAGAGGAUAACCGCUGAAAGCAUCUAAGUGGGAAGCCCACCUCAAGAUGAGUACUCUCACUACGAUAAGUAGGUAAGGUCACGGGCAGAACACCCGUUAAUAGGCUCUAAGUGGAAGUACAGUAAUGUAUGAAGCUGAGGGGUACUAAUAGACCGAGGGCUUGACCUC